RNAcentral lists this ribosomal RNA (497 nucleotides) under uncultured bacterium. RNAcentral's name for it is "partial 16S ribosomal RNA". It matches the Rfam family "Bacterial small subunit ribosomal RNA", at positions 29 to 507 of the family's 1533-position model. The record is from RNAcentral.
AAUGAACGCUGGCGGCGUGCCUAAUACAUGCAAGUCGAGCGAACGGACGAGACGCUUUCCUCUCUGCUGUUAGCGGCGGGCGGGUGAGUAAUACGUGGAUACCCUACCUAUAAGGAUGGGAUAACUUCGGGAAACCGUAUCUAGUACCGGACAAGAUUUUGAAACGCAUGGUUCAAAAGUGAAAGACGGUCUUGCUGUCACUUAGACGUAUAUCCAGGCUGCAUUAGCUAGUUGGUAAGGUAACGGCUUACCAAGGCUACGAUGCAUAGACGACCUGAGAGGAUGAUCAGCCACACUGGAACUGAGACACGGUCCAGACUCCUACGGGAGGCAGCAGUAGGGAAUAUUCCGCAAUGGGCGAAAGCCUGACGGAGCAACGCCGCGUGAGUGAUGAAGGUCUUCGGAUCGUAAAACUCUGUUAGUAGGGAAGAACAGAUGUGUAAGUAACUCUGCACAUCUUGACGGUACCUAAUCAGAAAGCCACGGCUAACUUCGUG